This 3828-nucleotide long non-coding RNA is filed under the name Callithrix jacchus (white-tufted-ear marmoset). Its description in RNAcentral is "lncRNA (ENSCJAG00000087248.1)". Lineage: Eukaryota; Metazoa; Chordata; Mammalia; Primates; Cebidae. The record is from RNAcentral.
UGUAUAAACAGCAAAAUAAACAUAUAUUUAUUCCUCACAGUUCUAGAGGCUGGGAAGUCCAAGAUUAAGGUGCCAGGAGAUUCACUGUUUGGAUUUCGCCACGUCUCCCAGCCUGGUCGCGAAGGGGAACAGAGUGGGGAAAAAUGGAGAGACACCAAGAAUAAACGAAAUCUACGUGGACCCUUUGAUCUCCAAAACGGAAGCGGCCCUGCGUUAAGUUUGAAGAGCCCGGCGCUUCAGCUCCUGUGCUCGCCCUGCUCGCAUCGUGGUUGCUACUCUGUGCUGUGGCCGCAACAGACUCGGCUCGAAUCGGAGUCACUGCAGUGUCGCUUCUGGGGUGCAGGGCUCUUCUUUCCCGUUAGCCUCCAACCUCAGCCUGGGCUGCGCGGUUUACCUGUGACUAGAGAGGUUACAACUUUCCUGCGGCUUCAGAGCUCUCUGUACUGGCAGUAAUAGAAGGAACCCGUAACCUGCACGCGGGGGUCGCGUCAUCUUGAAAGGCUAGACUUUUGCCCCCUCUCUGAGCAAGUGCAAUACCCAAAAGCUGAGGGGCUCCCUCUCAGUCAGCCUCAUUGGAGUCUUUUUCUGAUGACAUGAUGUGGCCAUGCCUGUUUCUUUAGCUCAGAUGUUUCAAACAUCCUUAGGGUCUUUUCAGGCCAAAACAGAAAUGAACAAGAGAAGUUAAGAGUUCACACUCCAGCCGGGUGUUUUAAGUGAAACCUAAAGAAUAUAAUAAAAUCUAAACUCAACGACAUUCCCCAACCCCGAUUUUUAAUUUUGUUUUUACUUCUUUAUUUGCUCUCAGUAAAUGACUGAGGUGUAAUCCACACAGACCAAAGUGUGCUAAUCCUAACUUCAAGGGCCAGUGCAUUUUGACAAAGAAACUGUCACCCAGAUAAGUUACCGGACAUUUUCACCAGCCCAAAAAGUCAUUAGAGCCUCUUCCCAGUCAAUCCUCAGCCCAUCCCCACUUAGGCAGUCACCCUUCUGAUUUCUAUCUCUGUGAUUUGCUUUUGCUUCUCCUUGAAAUCAUGUAAAGGAGUGUACUGACUUUGCCCGUUUGGUUUUUUUUUUUUUAAUGCAACAGUGGUUAUGAGAUGCUUUUAUUAUAUGGCAUAAAUCUCAGGUUUUUGCUGUUAUUGAUGAAUGUAUUCUAACCUGUGAAUAUACCACGGUUAAUGGACACUUGGGCUGUUUCUAGUCUUGGCGAUUGUGAACAAGGUGUUUACAAAUAUUCCACUAUGGGCCUCUUUAUGGACCUGUGCCUUCAUUUCUGUUGCGUGUACGCCUAGUAAUGGAAUGGCUGGGUCAGGAAGUAGGUGUAGUUUUCACUGUAUUGGAAACUAUCAGGCAGUAUUUUAGAUUGGUUACACUAUUGUAGUCUCUUUUUCUUUCUCUUUUUGAGACAGUCUCACUCUGUUGGCCAGGCUGGAGUAUAAUGGCUUGAUCUCAGCUCACUGCAACCUCUGCCUCCUGGGUUCAAGCCAUUCUCCUACCUCAGCCUCCCAAAUAGCUGGAAUUAAGGCCUUCUUCCUCAGCAAUACUCAGGGUCUCAGUGCUCGGAUUUCUCUGUGCCAAUCAGCGGGAAAUGGAACACGAGCCAAUAGCGCUAAGGAUCCGGGUCUGUAACAGGGGCCUGUCAGGUGCAGGAUGCUGUUGGCUCCAGUGAUGUUUCUCAGAUGGGCUGAUUUUUAUGGACAUAGCCUCUGAAAGAAAUCAGUCAGGGAAAGAUUCAGAGACACUUACCUGCAUGUUAAUUCUUCAUUAAUACAGAAGGGAGAACUGGCAUUAGAUUGUUUUCAGCAAAUAAAAGUAAAAUGAAAAUUUAGAAAGAAAAGAGGAAUGGGGAGCAGAAAAAAUGUCUUGGACCAUUGUGAUUUUGCUCCUUUGGAUAAGUGAGUUGGCAGAAGCCUAUCAAAGAGGUCACUGUGACCUGUCUUCUCUGGACCCAUGUGACUUGGUCACCACAGGAAACAAUUAUAAGCUGGGCACAGUGACUCACAACUGUAAGUCUUACUGACACUUUGGGAGGCUGAGGCAGGUGGAUUGCUUGAGGUCAGUUGGAGAGCAGCCCAGGCAACAUAAUGAAACCCCGUCUCUACAAAAAGAUACAAAAGUUAGCCAGCCAGCAUUGGUGUAUGCUGGUAGUCCCAGCUACUCAGGAGGCUGAAGCGGGAGGAUCACCCAAGCCCGGGGAGGUUGAGACUGCAGUGAGCCAUGAUCAUGCUCCACUGUGACCGUGCCACUGCAUGGCUGCCUUGGCAACAGUGUGAGACAUUGUCUCAAAAAUCAAAUGAAAUGUCCUAGAAGUUUACCUGUCCAUCCUGUGCCACAGAAUAUCUGUGUAUAAAGUCCUCCAUAUCCUUCUGUUGUAUUGUCCCCUUAGUUAAGCUGUGAAGCUACCUAGCCCCUUAUUAGAAUAUCAUGGGCACAUGGCCGAGUGCGGUGGCUCACGCCUGAAAUCCCGGCACUUUGGGAGGCCAAGGCAGAUGGAUCUGUGUAGCCCAGGAGUUAGAGACCAACAUGGGCAACAAAGCAAGACCCUAUCUCUACAAAAAAAAAAAAAAAAAAAUCUGAAUGUGCUCGUGCAUGCCAGUAGAUCCAGCUACUGUGGAGGCUGAGGUGUGAGGAUCACUGGAGCCCAGGGGGUGGAGGCUGCCAUGAGCUGAGACCACGCCACUGCACCCCACACUGGGUGACACAGUGACACCUACUCUAAGAAAAGAUGGGGAGGGAGAAGAAAGUUUGUUGUGUCAGCAAGUAAAUGAAGAAAGCGACAGUAUUAGAGUUGAGAAAUAAAUUGGAAUAUCAUUUGGUACUUCUCCCACAGAAGAUGAAUCUGCUAACUUUGCUGAAGUUACAGGCGUUAUACAAGGCCCGAUGCAGUGGCUCGUGUCAGUAAAUCCUGGCACUUUGUGAGGCCUCAGAGCUGCUUGAGCCCAGUAGAAUCGCACAGACCAAAGUGUGCUCAUCUUAGCUUCGAUUAAGGUUAGGAGAGCAGCCUGUGCAACAUGGUGAAAUCCCUUCUCUACAAAACAUACAAAAACCAGCAGGGUAUGAUGGUUCAUGCCUGUAGUCCCGGAUACUGGGAAGGCUGAAAGGUGGGAGGAUCACUUCAGCCUGGGAAGUUGAGGCUGCAGUGAGAUGUAAUCAGGCCACUGCGCUCCAGCCUGAGAGACAGAAUGAGACCCUGUCACAAAAACUAAAAAUUAAAAUUAAAAGCCUGUAACAUGGCAGUGGCACAUCCAGUUCUCUACAUUACAGGAAUAUCAGUGGCCAAAGAGACGUGUGCAAGAACGAUCACUGUAGGAUUCUUUGAAAUCCUAAAACCAUGAAGCCAACCUCAUUUCCAACACAUUUUGAAAAGGGUUAAAUAAAUCAUGCAAAAACUGAGGGGGAAAUGCUGUUUUCAAAAACGAUGGAGAGGAUUAUGAUGAUGAUGAAUGAUUCCACUGGUCACAUUACGUAAAUCCAGGCACAUCCUGGGGAUAGGACACCUCUCUAAGCUUCCUGUUAAAAAUAAAAAAAAAAAUGGAGGCUGGUAUAGAACCCAUCCAAGCCUAUGAGGGGCAGUAUGAGGAUUUUAUCACACCAGAGGGACUCAUUUGGUCUCUGUUUCUUGUACACAGGCACAAGACAACCUGACAUUUUAGGAGAUGCUCUGUCAGAAUUGGCUCUGUGAGGGACCCUGUUAACUGUGACUAGAAUACUGAGAAGAGGAAACCCUCCCUGAAAUGGGCAUAUCCCUGGCUGGCCUGGAACCACCAAUCUUUCGGAGUUAGGACUAUGGGAAGAAACGGGAGAUUCUCUAGUGAUUGAUAAUAUAUG